CUAGCCCCGAUAGUAGUGGAAAUCCUUUUUCUGGCUUCUUUAGCCAGAAAAAGAUUGAAACGGAUAGCGGGAAAUAG
Molecule: small RNA, 77 nt
Filed under: uncultured Flavobacterium sp.
Lineage: Bacteria; Pseudomonadati; Bacteroidota; Flavobacteriia; Flavobacteriales; Flavobacteriaceae
Description: Flavo-1 RNA
Rfam family: Flavo-1 RNA
Source: RNAcentral